GAGAUGAUCUCAAGGUCUUGUUGAUGAGGUCCAGGUUGGCCCUGAGGGUCAUGUUGACGAGGUCCUUGCUGGCCCUGAGGGAAAUGCUGACAAGGUCCCCGAUGUCCCUGAGGGUCCUGAUGGCGAGGUCCUCGUUGUCCCUGAGGGGCCUGUUGGCGAGGUCCUCGUUGGCCCUGAGGGGCUGUUUGGCGAGGUCCUCGUUGGCCCUGAGGGGCCUGUUGGCGAGGUCCUCGUUGGGCCUCAGGGUCCUGCCGAUGAGGUUCUUGUUCGCUCUGAAGACCGCCAACAAGCUUUUGUUUUUUCUCCUUUGCAUCCAGCCAUUCCAGCCACUGCUCUGCAUUUUGAUGUUGCAUCCUGUAGCAGACUAGAGAUGUACAAAGCAGACUGUGGAUA
Sebastes umbrosus (honeycomb rockfish) is the source of this 393-nucleotide long non-coding RNA. RefSeq lists it as uncharacterized. The transcript is spliced from 3 exons. NCBI's taxonomy places the organism in Eukaryota, Metazoa, Chordata, Actinopteri, Perciformes, Sebastidae. The record is from RefSeq and is a predicted model, not a curated record.